RNAcentral lists this ribosomal RNA (1129 nucleotides) under Enterobacter asburiae. Its description in RNAcentral is "bacterial SSU rRNA". It matches the Rfam family "Bacterial small subunit ribosomal RNA", at positions 34 to 1157 of the family's 1533-position model. Lineage: Bacteria; Pseudomonadati; Pseudomonadota; Gammaproteobacteria; Enterobacterales; Enterobacteriaceae. The record is from RNAcentral.
CGCGUUGAGAGGCAGCUACCAUGCAGUCGAGCGGUAGCACAGAGAGCUUGCUCUCGGGUGACGAGCGGCGGACGGGUGAGUAAUGUCUGGGAAACUGCCUGAUGGAGGGGGAUAACUACUGGAAACGGUAGCUAAUACCGCAUAACGUCGCAAGACCAAAGAGGGGGACCUUCGGGCCUCUUGCCAUCAGAUGUGCCCAGAUGGGAUUAGCUAGUAGGUGGGGUAACGGCUCACCUAGGCGACGAUCCCUAGCUGGUCUGAGAGGAUGACCAGCCACACUGGAACUGAGACACGGUCCAGACUCCUACGGGAGGCAGCAGUGGGGAAUAUUGCACAAUGGGCGCAAGCCUGAUGCAGCCAUGCCGCGUGUAUGAAGAAGGCCUUCGGGUUGUAAAGUACUUUCAGCGGGGAGGAAGGUGUUGAGGUUAAUAACCUCAGCAAUUGACGUUACCCGCAGAAGAAGCACCGGCUAACUCCGUGCCAGCAGCCGCGGUAAUACGGAGGGUGCAAGCGUUAAUCGGAAUUACUGGGCGUAAAGCGCACGCAGGCGGUCUGUCAAGUCGGAUGUGAAAUCCCCGGGCUCAACCUGGGAACUGCAUUCGAAACUGGCAGGCUAGAGUCUUGUAGAGGGGGGUAGAAUUCCAGGUGUAGCGGUGAAAUGCGUAGAGAUCUGGAGGAAUACCGGUGGCGAAGGCGGCCCCCUGGACAAAGACUGACGCUCAGGUGCGAAAGCGUGGGGAGCAAACAGGAUUAGAUACCCUGGUAGUCCACGCCGUAAACGAUGUCGACUUGGAGGUUGUGCCCUUGAGGCGUGGCUUCCGGAGCUAACGCGUUAAGUCGACCGCCUGGGGAGUACGGCCGCAAGGUUAAAACUCAAAUGAAUUGACGGGGGCCCGCACAAGCGGUGGAGCAUGUGGUUUAAUUCGAUGCAACGCGAAGAACCUUACCUACUCUUGACAUCCAGAGAACUUAGCAGAGAUGCAUUGGUGCCUUCGGGAACUCUGAGACAGGUGCUGCAUGGCUGUCGUCAGCUCGUGUUGUGAAAUGUUGGGUUAAGUCCCGCAACGAGCGCAACCCUUAUCCUUUGUUGCCAGCGGUCCGGCCGGGAACUCAAGGAAGACUGCCCAGU